GAAAUCAGAGUAUUUUGCCUGCUGAGAUUUCUUUUAACAGCUAAACACUGGUAAAUUUUAAUGAAUGUUCUCUUGGGUACAAAGUUCUUUAUAUAUUCAUUAUUUAUAAAACUAAUUUUGAGAAUUGUCUGAGCUAUUGAAUUCUAAAUAGCUAUAAAUAUUUUCAGUUUACUUUAUCUGUCCAUUUAUAAGCAAGAUAUUAAA
This 204-nucleotide long non-coding RNA is filed under the name Bos taurus (domestic cattle). Its description in RNAcentral is "long non-coding RNA NONBTAT010675". The record is from RNAcentral. Lineage: Eukaryota; Metazoa; Chordata; Mammalia; Artiodactyla; Bovidae.